AUCGCCCUUGUUUUUUAUCAGUUGUAAAAUAAAUGUGCAAAAUAUUUUAUUUUUCACCAGUGCUUUUGUUCAGCAAAGCAUCGAUUCUGAUAACAGUCCAAUUAAGAGGUGUUUUGGGUACAGAGGACCUGUAAAAAAAAAAACCCUACUCACCAGGGGAGAGAAGCUUGGGAAACCCGUGUCUCGGGGCAGGAGUUAAAGUAGUAUCUGAGACCUGAGUUUGUAGUGCAGUAUGCAGUAAACAAACUUGGUGGCAAUUUUGUUUGCAAAAAGAUUUCACGAAGGUUUUCAGCAGUCCUCUGCAUUGCUGUGUCGCUUCUGGAGAUGCUGGACUCAUUCUGAGGAGCUUCUUCAGGCUAUUUAGGGCUCCCAGCAAAGGCCACCACUGCGUAAGACUCUGGAGGUGGGUUGGGCAAAUGUGGUACAACUACAGGAUUUUUUUUUAGCCUGGCCAUCGCCUGAUGCAAGCUGAGGGCCGGGUGUUUUGUGCAGCUUUUGGAAAGCUGGGAGGGGCAGCGUGCUCCUGAACCUGGCCUCGAGGAAGAGCAGGGUUUGGAGCAGGAAGGAGCGAAGGGGAGCAGGUCUACCUUUCUCUUCCACCUUGCAGUAAAUCGCUCUGCUUUUCUACUCUGAACUGUGGCUUCCUUCCAUCUCUGGCUUGGCUCCUGGCAUCCUGGAGUUGGGGAGCAGGUGCUAGUUGUGUCCCUCCUCCUCCCCCCAGUUUCCCUUGAUUUCUCAUUCCCGAAAUAUCUCCCUUUUAUGCUUGAGAGACAGCGGAGCUGCUGCUUGGCCACAUGGCCAGGCACACAGGGUGGGGAGUAUUUUGCUGCCUCCAUAAGGCAUCAAUUACCGUUGGGAAGAAUAACCUAUUUCUGCUAGCGGUGGUAUGGCAGAAAUCUCCGACAGCUGGGUUCAUUCACAUGUUCAAAAGCAGAGAUGGGGGAGAGAUUUCCUGCUGUUCUCUGGGAUGUGCUGGGUUAUGGCGCUUUGAAACUCCAAGCUGAGGCUUUCAGAGUGGCAAAUACCUCGCUGAGGUAUUACUGGGGGUGAUUCAGCUGCGUGGGAAGGAGGGUGGAAAGUUCAGCACCUCUUGCUGCUCCUUGCUGCACACGCUGUGCUGCUUUCUGACAGUGCCCGCUGGGCGCAAACCUAGGUCUGGUGAGGCAGGAGGGAUUUUCAGCUGGCUUCCUGAAGUUAGCCAAAUAACCUGCCCCCUUCCAAAGCAAACAAAACCCCUGCUGCUCUGUAACAGUGGAAUUGCAAGAAACUAAGCCAAAAAUCUCAGGCACUUAAAUAAGCAGUGAAAAGACAAGUUCCUUCCUUUCAUCUUGUUUACCUCUUGGUUCCUGCUCUGCCAGGGGCUCUGUCCCUUUCUCCCUCAUCUCAAAGUCUUGGUGAAAAGCUGAAAACAAAAUGUACCUGUGUAUGUUCACCUCACCCAGUGGUCUCUGCCUGCUCCUUGUCCUCCUGAUGCUGCUGUCACAGUUGCGUGGUUGGAAACCUGCUCUCCUUUAACACCGAGCUCACAGGGAUUAUAAAGCAGGGUGAGGAGCUUAAGGAUUUGUCUCUUCCAAGAGUGUUUCCUGGCAGCUGGACAUGCACGGGGAGGAGGGAUGCCCCGUGGCUUCGUUUAAGGGGCUUUCUCCUCUUCCUGCCUGCAAGAUGUGUGCGAAACACUUCCACGGCUGCAGGGCCGAGCGGUGAGAGGUAUUUCUGGGCCUUGCUUUGCUUUUUGCUUGCAGAGUUGCCUUUGGCUGUAGGACACAAGGAGGCACAGUCAGCAUGCCCGAGUGCUAGCUGGUGUAGGAGGCUUCCUCGCCUCUUGGCAGCAGUGCAGGGUUCAGGUGAAGUUCCUCCUCCAGCUCCACCUGGCUUGCUCGGAGGUCCCCGGAGGUGUCCCUGGGAUGUGGACGUGGUACCAACGUCCUCCUCAGCCCCUGUUCUCUGUACAUGCUAGGCUGGUAGCAGGCAGUGGUUUGGGGGUUGGUUUUGUUUGUUUAGCUUUGGGGUUUUGUUUGUUUUGUAUUGAAAACCCAAAUGACAAAACAAACAAACAGAACUGAAGUCUUUACACCUUUCACUUCUGCAGAAGUUUCCUUGCCCCCCAGGGAUUACCUGUCAGCCAACAAUGUGCCUUUACAAAAAGAAUCAUACUUUGUUCUCGAAUCUUAACUUAUAAACACCUGCUUAUGUUCUCUCUCUUAAUUUUAUUAAUUGAUUAAAUUCAGCUAUUACGUUCCUCUCUGCUAAUCUAAAACAAAUUUCUCCAUCUGGGCAGAAAAACAUCUUUUCUUAAAUAUUAGCGUUAUGACUGACUUUCUGCCAGCCCUGUUUAAUUUUCCCUUUGUUCAGGGGAACUAAGAGUUCAAUUAUUAUGUUUGCACAUCGGAGUGCAAGGUACAUGGCUCAUUUAUUCUGAAACUUCUGAUAAGCACUUGUAAAACCAUUCAAGCAUUGGUUUGUGCAUUACCAGUCACUACAAAUCGUGCUGAAUUUCCCUGGGGAAGGGAAGAGGGAAGUGUUUCACCUGUUCCUGCACAGCAAGUGUUGUGAAACGUUGCUCCUGGAAUGGGACAAAAACGUGCUGGAACUCCUGUCGCUGCCGCAUCGCUGAUGAUUUCACACCCUGUCGAGGCACAGAGUGGUUUCACGGAGCCAUCUACCUCCCUCCCCUCCCUGCUGCCUGUGUCUGUAUUGCCUGACUUCUGUGUGCUGUACCCUGUCUGCUCGGUAGCGCUGUUUGCUUUUCUGUUGCCAGUUUCACGUUGCACACUAAUCAUAAGGAGUUUCUUUUUUAAAAGAAAAAAGAAACUCUGCUCGUGGGGCCCCGCAGGUCACCCAGCUGCGAGCACCCUGCGGUUUCCCCGUCGCCUUGGCUGCAGAGCAUCGCUCUGGCAGGAUGCAGGAGGCACCGCCACCCCGCAGGGCUCAGUACGGGUUUUCCUGGUACAGGUCUCAGCCUUGCGGUGCCUCCCCAGUCAAAGAAUCAGAACAGCUUGGUUUGGAAGGGACCUUAAAGUUCAUCCAGUUCCAACCCCAUCAGACGUGGAAGAGCACAGACCCGGGCUAUGCGGUGCUGCUGUGACUUGUCAAACUGGCCUAGGAGCUUUUCUCUGUGCUGCAGAGGCUUCCUCAGCACGGGGGCCAGCCCCAAAACCACGAGGUGCUGCAUAUUUGGGAGCUGGGCACGCAGCUUGGGCUGUUGGCCUGCAGCUGAGGAAAAUGCCAUCAAAAGCUUGUGUCUGGUGGGGCCAAAGUGUUCGCGAGGGGCUGUGGGUGUGCAAGCAUGGCUGCUGCUUCCUCUGCCUGGCCUGGCUGCGGCGCAACUCCAGACCUUCAGCUCCAACCCCUGCAUCAACCAGAAACACGAAGUCGAAACUUGCGCUGCUUCUCUUCCCAGCUAAUUAGCAAGCAAACAGCCCUCGGGGGGAUGCUAAAAUAGAGCUGCCUGGCCCGAGCGAAGCCCCAGGACAAACCCUUGCGCAACAUCUAGAGGAGUCUUUCCAAAACUGGCAAGGAGGAUGAUUGUUUGGGUGUGCAGUAGGAAAGGAGGUUCACCUCGCUCUGGUGCUCCAUCGAUCUGAGCAGCCUGCGAAAGGCAGGGCCGGCGGCGUUAGCUGCCAGGGUGGUGUCAGUGCAGAGCGCUCCCCUUGCACCCCCGCGCCCAUCCCUGGCACUCGAGGUGCAGAGGGACGGGCUGAGCUGUGAUGAAGGCAGGAGACCGGUUUCCAGCACGCCAGGGAGCAUGUUUACGGGGCUGAGGUGAUGCUGCCGGAGCUCGGAGGCCUCCUUACAGUUGUCCUGGAUGUCCCAGCUGCUCCCAGUUCGCACCAAAGUAACCUUUGGCUCUGUUGGGGCAAUUAAGAGUGACAAGACAGCAAGAUGUGGACCUUGCCUGGCCUGUCCCAGCCAGCUGAGCAUCGUGUGCUAGCUGGUUUUCUUGUAGUUGAAACCCACAAGCUGACACAACACAUCGUCCUGUGCUCUUCGUAGAAGCUGUAGGUCAAACAGCAAAGCCUGGGGGACACGGGACUCUGAGAGGAGUUCAGGCACCAGUUCUGUGCUGAAGAACACAGCAAUGACUUCAAGGGAGCAGGGAAGAGUGCUGUGACAACAAAAUGCAUUCCUUUUACUUUAAGCUCUGCCCCUUGUCUCUUCCCUUCCCCUCCCAGGUUCCAGGAUUUCAGCUAGCUGUAUUUGGGAUUGCAACGCAGGAUGUCUUGGUUGCAUUCCUGUCACACCAAGCCGACAUAAAAGAUGGGAAUUGGUUAAAAUAAUACCAAAGUUUGGCUCAUAUGUGCCUCCUUAUUUCUGCUUACAGUGAAGCUGCCUCUGGUUUUCAGCUGCAUCUCCUAAAAUCUGCAGGACCCAGCUCACCAAGGUACCAGGUCAGGACUUGUGCCUGAGGACAAGGUCCAGAGCGGUGACCUCUGCGUGCUGGCUGGGUGCAGGAAAGAGCAGCAGAAGUGCAAUUUCUAUUUAUUUUGAAUUGUUUACUGGAACAGAAAUAAAGCUCAAGAAUGCUCCUACGUUAAAAGUAAAUUUGCAAGUCUUUUCUCUGUGUUUUCUGUAGUUGUAUAUUUUAAUCCAGUUGAUUGUGUUAUAAGUCUUUUAUGCUGUUAAUUCGCACAGUAGUAGAUUCUGCUCUGUUAUGAAGCACUUCUGGCUUUAACACGAUAAUAAAUCUGGGUUUAAAACAAA
Long non-coding RNA from Anas platyrhynchos (mallard), 4701 nucleotides. RefSeq lists it as uncharacterized. Lineage: Eukaryota; Metazoa; Chordata; Aves; Anseriformes; Anatidae. The record is from RefSeq and is a predicted model, not a curated record.